Caenorhabditis elegans is the source of this 128-nucleotide non-coding RNA. Lineage: Eukaryota; Metazoa; Nematoda; Chromadorea; Rhabditida; Rhabditidae. The record is from Ensembl.
GGUUUAACUUUCAAGAAAUGAUUCAGAAAUGUGAUUGGCAUUAGACGGACACUUCCAGGAAGGAUUCUAGGAGACUGCACGGAGAUGUUUCGAAUUAACGAAGACUUCAUAAAUCUGACUUUUUUGAA